AGGACGAACGCUGGCGGCGUGCCUCAUACAUGCAAGUGGAGCGACGAACCAGGAUUUAUCCUGGGGCAAAGCCGCGAACGGGUGAGUAACACGUGGGUUACCUGCCUUGAUGACCGGGACAACCCGAGGAAACUCGGGCUAAUACCGGAUGUGCCCGCAAGGGGAAAGGAAGCUUCGGCCUCCGCAUCAAGAUGGGCCCGCGGCCCAUUAGCUUGUUGGUGAGGUAACGGCUCACCAAGGCUUCGAUGGGUAGCUGGUCUGAGAGGACGAUCAGCCACACUGGGACUGAGACACGGCCCAGACUCCUACAGGAGGCAGCAGUGGGGAAUCUUGCGCAAUGCGCGAAAGCGUGACGCAGCAACGCCGCGUGGGGAAGAAGGCUUUCGGGUUGUAAACCCCUUUCAGUUGGGACGAAGCUUCUCCGGUGAAUAGCCGGACGGAGUGACGGUACCUUCACAAGAAGCACCGGCUAACUACGUGCCAGCAGCCGC
RNAcentral lists this ribosomal RNA (491 nucleotides) under uncultured bacterium. RNAcentral's name for it is "SSU rRNA". It matches the Rfam family "Bacterial small subunit ribosomal RNA", at positions 26 to 518 of the family's 1533-position model. The record is from RNAcentral.